RNAcentral lists this ribosomal RNA (264 nucleotides) under uncultured Carnobacteriaceae bacterium. RNAcentral's name for it is "partial 16S ribosomal RNA". It matches the Rfam family "Bacterial small subunit ribosomal RNA", at positions 505 to 768 of the family's 1533-position model. Lineage: Bacteria; Bacillati; Bacillota; Bacilli; Lactobacillales; Carnobacteriaceae. The record is from RNAcentral.
GUGCCAGCAGCCGCGGUAAUACGUAGGUGGCAAGCGUUGUCCGGAUUUAUUGGGCGUAAAGCGAGCGCAGGCGGUUCUUUAAGUCUGAUGUGAAAGCCCCCGGCUCAACCGGGGAGGGUCAUUGGAAACUGGAGAACUUGAGUGCAGAAGAGGAGAGUGGAAUUCCACGUGUAGCGGUGAAAUGCGUAGAUAUGUGGAGGAACACCAGUGGCGAAGGCGACUCUCUGGUCUGUAACUGACGCUGAGGCUCGAAAGCGUGGGGAG